Molecule: ribosomal RNA, 173 nt
Filed under: uncultured Erwinia sp.
Lineage: Bacteria; Pseudomonadati; Pseudomonadota; Gammaproteobacteria; Enterobacterales; Erwiniaceae
Description: partial 16S ribosomal RNA
Rfam family: Bacterial small subunit ribosomal RNA
Source: RNAcentral
UGACGUCAAGUCAUCAUGGCCCUUACGGGCAGGGCUACACACGUGCUACAAUGGCGCAUACAAAGAGAAGCGACCUCGCGAGAGCAAGCGGACCUCAUAAAGUGCGUCGUAGUCCGGAUCGUAGUCUGCAACUCGACUCCGUGAAGUCGGAAUCGCUAGUAAUCGUAGAUCAG